Molecule: ribosomal RNA, 449 nt
Filed under: uncultured bacterium
Lineage: Bacteria
Description: bacterial SSU rRNA
Rfam family: Bacterial small subunit ribosomal RNA
Source: RNAcentral
UGCCCAGACUCCUACGGGAGGCAGCAGUGGGGAAUAUUGCACAAUGGGCGAAAGCCUGAUGCAGCAACGCCGCGUGAAGGAAGACGGUUUUCGGAUUGUAAACUUCUGUUCUUAGUGAAGAAUAAUGACGGUAACUAAGGAGCAAGCCACAGCUAACUACGUGCCAGCAGCCGCGGUAAUACGUAGGUGGCAAGCGUUGUCCGGAAUUACUGGGUGUAAAGGGAGCGUAGGCGGGAAGCCAAGUCAGAUGUGAAAACCACGGGCUCAACCUGUGGCCUGCAUUUGAAACUGUGUUUCUUGAGUACUGGAGAGGCAGACGGAAUUCCUAGUGUAGCGGUGAAAUGCGUAGAUAUUAGGAGGAACACCAGUGGCGAAGGCGGUCUGCUGGACAGCAACUGACGCUGAGGCGCGAAAGCGUGGGGAGCAAACAGGAUUAGAUACCCGGGUAU